RNAcentral lists this ribosomal RNA (484 nucleotides) under uncultured bacterium. Its description in RNAcentral is "partial 16S ribosomal RNA". It matches the Rfam family "Bacterial small subunit ribosomal RNA", at positions 30 to 507 of the family's 1533-position model. The record is from RNAcentral.
AUUGAACGCUGGCGGCAUGCUUUACACAUGCAAGUCGAACGGCAGCACGGGCUUCGGCCUGGUGGCGAGUGGCGAACGGGUGAGUAAUAUAUCGGAACGUACCCAGAAGUGGGGGAUAACGUAGCGAAAGUUACGCUAAUACCGCAUACGAUCUAUGGAUGAAAGCAGGGGACCGCAAGGCCUUGUGCUCCUGGAGCGGCCGAUAUCUGAUUAGCUAGUUGGUGAGGUAAAGGCUCACCAAGGCGACGAUCAGUAGCUGGUCUGAGAGGACGACCAGCCACACUGGAACUGAGACACGGUCCAGACUCCUACGGGAGGCAGCAGUGGGGAAUUUUGGACAAUGGACGCAAGCCUGAUCCAGCAAUGCCGCGUGAGUGAAGAAGGCCUUCGGGUUGUAAAGCUCUUUUGUCAGGGAAGAAACGGUAGAGGCUAAUAUCCUUUGCUAAUGACGGUACCUGAAGAAUAAGCACCGGCUAACUACGUG